AGUGAACGCUGGCGGUAGGCCUAACACAUGCAAGUCGAACGGCAGCACAGUAAGAGCUUGCUCUUACGGGUGGCGAGUGGCGGACGGGUGAGGAAUACAUCGGAAUCUACUUUUUCGUGGGGGAUAACGUAGGGACACUUCCGCUAAUACCGCAUACGACCUACGGGUGAAAGCAGGGGAUCUUCGGACCUUGCGCGAUUGAAUGAGCCGAUGUCGGAUUAGCUAGUUGGCGGGGUAAAGGCCCACCAAGGCGACGAUCCAUAGCUGGUCUGAGAGGAUGAUCAGCCACACUGGAACUGAGACACGGUCCAGACUCCUACGGGAGGCAGCAGUGGGGAAUAUUGGACAAUGGGCGCAAGCCUGAUCCAGCCAUACCGCGUGGGUGAAGAAGGCCUUCGGGUUGUAAAGCCCUUUUGUUGGGAAAGAAAAGCAGCAUGUUAAUACCCCGCUGUUCUGACGGUACCCAAAGAAUAAGCACCGGCUAACUUCGUG
Molecule: ribosomal RNA, 492 nt
Filed under: uncultured bacterium
Lineage: Bacteria
Description: partial 16S ribosomal RNA
Rfam family: Bacterial small subunit ribosomal RNA
Source: RNAcentral